This 253-nucleotide ribosomal RNA is filed under the name uncultured bacterium. RNAcentral's name for it is "partial 16S ribosomal RNA". It matches the Rfam family "Bacterial small subunit ribosomal RNA", at positions 524 to 776 of the family's 1533-position model. The record is from RNAcentral.
UACAGAGACUGCGAGCGUUAUUCGGAUUCACUGGGCGUAAAGGGUGCGCAGGUGGCCAAGUGUGUUAGGCGUGAAAGCCCGGGGCUUAACCCCGGAAUUGCACCUAAAACUACCUGGCUAGAGCAUUGGAGAGGGGAGCAGAAUUCAUGGUGUAGCAGUGAAAUGCGUAGAUAUCAUGAGGAAGACCAGUGGCGAAGGCGGGUCUCUGGACAGUUCCUGACACUGAGGCACGAAGGCCAGGGGAGCAAACGGG